Oncorhynchus keta (chum salmon) is the source of this 3244-nucleotide RNA transcript. It is a transcript of the gene named E3 ubiquitin-protein ligase RNF152-like, with no coding region annotated. The record is from RefSeq and is a predicted model, not a curated record. Lineage: Eukaryota; Metazoa; Chordata; Actinopteri; Salmoniformes; Salmonidae. The transcript has 3 exons.
CGUAGCAAGAAUCUUAUUGACUAAAAUGAUUAAAAUGAUACAGUACUGCUAAAGUAGGCUAGCUGGCAGUAGCUGCGUUGUUGACACUACACUAAUCAAGUCAUAUAAUCAAGUUAUAUAAAGUGGCAUUGUUUAAAGUGACACGCUUUAUUAUGCGUUGCGGAAGUUAGAGUAGCAAUGAUCCAGAAUGUGUCGCGCAUUCGAUAUGCUGAUAAUUUAGGGAGCCUUGUUUUCAGAUUAGCUUUGUUAAAAUCCCCAGCUACAAAAAAUGCAACCUCAGGAUAUAUGUUUUCCAGUUUAGUCCAAUGAAGUUCUUUCAGGGCGGUCGAGGUAUCUGCUUGGGGGUGAUAUACAUGGCUGUGAUUAUAAUCGAAGAGGAUUCUGUUGGUAGAUAAUGCGGUCGGCAUUUGAUUGUAAGGAAUUCUAGGUCAGGUGAACAAAAUAACUUGAGUUCCUGUAUGUUGUUAUGAUCACACCACAACUCGUUAAUCAUAAGGCAUACACCCCCGCCCUUCUUCUUACCAGAGAGAUGUUUGUUUCUGUCGGCGUGAUGCAUGAAGAAACCGGGUGUCUAUACCGACUCUAACAUAUCCGGAGUGAGCCAUGUUUCCAUGAAGAAGAGAAUGUUACAAUCUCUGAUGUCUCUCUGGAAGGUAAACCCUGCUCGAAUUUCGUCUACCUUGUUCUCAAGAGACUAGACAUUGGCAAGUAGUACACUCGGGCUCCUGACCAGAAGACCGCUCUGUCUGCCCCAUCUGCGGCGUCGUUGUUUUGGGUUGCCUACUGGGAGCCGAUCCAUUGUCCUGGGUGGUGGUCCAAACCGAGGAUCCGCUUCAGGAAAGUCGUAUUCCUGGUCGUAAUGUUGGGUUGAUGGAGCCAGACUUGGAUUAAACUAAGUACUGUGACACAACAUCUGUAAAGAAGAGAGGAGGAGAGACGUCAAGAGCAGAAACAUCUGUAAAUCUCUUAAGAGUUCCCUAAUCUGCAUAUUCAUACCACGGGAACCACAGACUGUUUUUGGUUUGACAUCUUGUGACUGUCAUUGACACAACAGACCAAACUCCUCAUAAUGGAAUCUCUCUCACAACAAGAGUCCAUUCUAGAUUGUCAGAUCUCACAACAAGACUCCAUGUUAGAAUGUCAGAUCUGUUUCAACUAUUACAGUUUGUGGCAUAGGCCCAAGCUCCUGGACUGCCAGCACACCUGCUGCUCAGUGUGCUUGACCCAGAUGAGGAUGAGCCAGAGUGAGCUGCGCUGCCCCUGGUGUCGCUGUGUCACCACUUUGCCCCCAGGGGUCUCUGUCUCCCAACUCCUAGAUGACCCGGACACUAUGGCCAUCAUCUCUGUCCCAUACACACCUGUCUUCAUACGGCUGCCGUGUAACGCCUACCUUCCAGUAGAACACCAUGAGAGGGCUACAGGGAUGGAGGAGGAACAUGGAAUGAGGGAAGGGGAGGAAGGUAGUUGUAAGAGCGCAUUUGGAACCAGGUUCUGCUUAGUGGCUGUUGUGGGAUUUGUCCUACUCUUACUUGUGUACAUUAUACUGCACAGCAUGACCUGCAACUCAGAACGGUUCACCAUGAUAUCCUGUGGCUGAAAGACUUGAUGAUGAUAAUAAUAAGCUAUUUGGGAUCUUUAUAUCUCACUCCCCAAAAUUACAGGACAUUGUCACAAUGCCAACAUUCAGGCUAUUUCUUAACCACGAAUAGUACUGCCAUACUGAAAUGGUUGCCAUACUUUGUAUUUCAAAUGUGUUCAGAUAUAUUGAAUCUUUAUUUAUUUUUUUCAAAUAAUUUCUCAUGUCUUUGUGCAAUAGACAGUUAAAAAAUUAAACAAAUCACCAUUAUGCUUCUCUGUUGUGAUUCACCCAGAAAAGCACAAAUCAAAUGUUAUUGUCACAUACACAUUUAGCAGAUGUUAUUGCGGGUGUAGCGAAAGGCUUACUUGUGUUAAUUCAUAUGAAAAACAUAAAACUGACCCAUUUUUAGUGGUCUGUGAUUUGUAUUUCUUCAAGUCUUCCUUUUCACCUACAGAUGAUGCUAUUUGACUUUUUUAGUGACAUUUUAAUCUUUAGGUCCCACACAAUCAAGACUCUAAAUUAAUAUUUUUAAGAUGGAAGAACUGUCAGAAAAGCAAAAACAUUUUUGCCCAUCAAGACCUGAAUCCAGACCGCUGUCAAUACAGGGUUUAAUCUAAUCAUUUCAUCACUGGUUUACCAGCUGACCUCUAUCAGGACACCCAUGUCAACUGGAUUCCCACUGUGAAGAGGAGCAACAUCAGUUUCUCCUUCAUCUUGAUAAUUUUCCAAAUAUGAAAGGAGUGUCGUGGAACUUUCCUCUAUUUACCAAAUCAUGAGCGCAAACCACAACACAAGUCAGAGUUAGUUAUCAAAAGUCCAUCUUUAAUUAUAUGAGCUCUAUCACAACCCUGUGACUCUCAGAUCAAUUCAGUGUCUAUCAAUGAAUUCUCUGAGAGCCCCCUCUACAUUGCAACUGAGAUCCUUUAAUAGCAAAGAACACGCAUAGUCAGACAGCAUAGACAUAAUAUAUCGUUCAGCUUUGUCUCCUUACUCAAACCCAGAACUAUAAACCAAUCCUCCAUAUCAACAGGCAUAUAUCAAAUUGUCAUUUAGAUACAACCAAUUCUAAAUACAACCAAUCCUGGACAAGCUCACGGGGAGCAUAGAAUGAUUCCAGACACUGCCAUCCUCCUCUCCCCGAUGGGAAAAGUAGGGAGAGACUGGCACACAGACACAGUGGGGCAAAAGAUAUGUUUACACAUGAUGACACCUUGACCUCUCCCCUCUCUGCGGCCCAUGCAACUUAGUCUUGACAUAGAACAGAUACUGCAACCCUGCCACAAUAUUAUACAUAAAUAACAUUCUUGAUGAGAAGUAACUUAAAAACAUAUGAUGAAUAUAAAACAUCUUACCUAUGUUACCAACCAAAUCUGAUUAUUCCCCAACAGGAGACAUCCCUCAGUUAUCUGAGAUGGUUGUCAUAUGCUGUGCUUUGGACAAUCUGAAUGAUUCUGUUGUGUCAGAUAUGUAGAGGGCACCUUCACCUUGUCGUCAUGACUAAACUGCCCCCUCAAAGUGUGUGUGUGUAAUUUGGAACUUGUAAAAGACUAUCGUUUGUAUUGUAAACAUGCUGUACUUAAAUAAUAUAUUGUUGUGUGGGUGAAAUGAAAGUAUUUUGCUAUCUCUUCUUUGCCUAGCCCCAUUGAAUAAAAAGCAUUUCUUAUA